RNAcentral lists this transfer RNA (70 nucleotides) under Monodelphis domestica (gray short-tailed opossum). It matches the Rfam family "tRNA". Rfam says of the family: Transfer RNA (tRNA) molecules are approximately 80 nucleotides in length. Their secondary structure includes four short double-helical elements and three loops (D, anti-codon, and T loops). Lineage: Eukaryota; Metazoa; Chordata; Mammalia; Didelphimorphia; Didelphidae. The record is from Rfam by way of RNAcentral.
AGCUAGGUGGCUCAGUGGAUAGAGCCAGGCCUGGAGACAGGAGGUUCUGGGUUCAAACCCUACCUAGCUG